Molecule: transfer RNA, 60 nt
Filed under: Cavia porcellus (domestic guinea pig)
Lineage: Eukaryota; Metazoa; Chordata; Mammalia; Rodentia; Caviidae
Rfam family: tRNA
About the family: Transfer RNA (tRNA) molecules are approximately 80 nucleotides in length. Their secondary structure includes four short double-helical elements and three loops (D, anti-codon, and T loops).
Source: Rfam by way of RNAcentral
UAUAGUUCAGUGCCAGAGCACUUGCCUGACAUGUAAAAGGCCUGGGCUCAAUUCCCAGUA